RNAcentral lists this ribosomal RNA (468 nucleotides) under uncultured archaeon. Its description in RNAcentral is "bacterial SSU rRNA". It matches the Rfam family "Archaeal small subunit ribosomal RNA", at positions 1 to 471 of the family's 1478-position model. The record is from RNAcentral.
UUCCGGUUGAUCCUGCCGGAGGCCAUUGCUAUCGGAGUCCGAUUUAGCCAUGCUAGUCGCACGAGUUCAGACUCGUGGCGAAAAGCUCAGUGACACGUGGCCAAACUACCCUAUGGACGGAACUAACCUCGGGAAACUGAGGCUAAUGUCCGAUACGGCUCUCACGCUGGAACGCCGAGAGCCGGAAACGCCCUGGCGCCAUAGGAUGUGGCUGCGGCCGAUUAGGUUGACGGUGGGGUAACGGCCCACCGUGCCAAUAAUCGGUAUGGGUCAUGAGAGUGAGAACCCAGAGACGGUAUCUGAGACAAGAUACCGGGCCCUACGGGGCGCAGCAGGCGCGAAACCUUUACACUGCACGACAGUGCGAUAAGGGGACUCCGAGUGCGAGGGCAUACAGUCCUCGCUUUUCUGUACCGUAGGGUGGUACAGGAACAAGUGCUGGGCAAGACCGGUGCCAGCCGCCGCGGU